CAAACUCGUUACAUGUUCUUAUAUUCAUUCAAUAAUAGUACCAUUUUUAUUAUAUUGUUGGUUUACGGGUUGAGCGAGCAUUGGUUUUCCGGAAGUUAUGUUCCUCGGUAAGGUUUUAAUGAAGCUCAACUCAUUGUACGUUUGACAUGGAUCGAUCUCCUUGUUUAUUUUUAAUUUUUACUUUUUAUUUAUUUAUUCAUUUUUUUGCGUGUUGCAGGUUAAAUUUCUUCCCAUUCGAGGUGCAGUCUUGUUGUUGCAUUACUCAAGUGAUUCUCUUUCUACCCUUUUCUUUGCAAAAAAAUGAUUUUUUCAGUUAUGUUUUUGAAGUGGUGUUAUGUUUGAAUUGAAUUGAUGGUUUGUAAUGCUUCAAGUUGUUGCUAUUCUACGUCAUCCUGCUCUGUGAUGAAAUGUUUUGCUUUAAUUAAUAAUUAUGUGAUCAUUUUAUGCAUUGAGCAUAAGGUAUGGAAACACUUGAUCUUCAAGGUGUUAUUGAUGAUUUUAUUUUUCAAAAUGUUGAAAGAUUUAAAUUAUUUUAAUAGAUAUUUUAUCAUUGUCUUUUGGUUAUUGCACUUUAUAGAUUAAAGUUAUAUCGUCACACAAGUAUGGAAGAUGAUUAUACGUUAUUUAUAGCUAAUAAUAAAAAUAUUGAAGUUUCAUUUCUUAAAGAGCUACUCCCUCCGUCCCACUCCAAUAGGCUCGCUUUCCUUUUUGGGACGUCCCACUCCAAUAGGCCCAGUCUAAAAUUGAAAAUAAUUAGGGCUUUAAUAAAAUUCAAUAGUUACUUAAUUAAAGGAGAUAUACCCUUUAAUCUACUCAUUCAAAAUAAUUUCACUUCAGAUUUUUCCCCUCUCUCUCCGGGAACCUUCCCCUUCCCCCUUCCCCUUUCCGUCAACUUCCCCACCGCCGCCGUCAAAUUUAACAAUAAUAAUAGAAAUUAAACGAAAUUUCAUCCAAUUUAUGGCUAACAAAUUACGGAUGGAAAAUGCCGACAAAGAGAAUGACCGUUUAAUUUGAGGGACACCUUAAUCCCUCAAAACGUCAUUUUAAUUGCAAUAGGGGGAAUGUUUUGUUCCUAAUCUAUUUAAUAUAUUAAAGGAUUACACGUUGAAGAGCUCACAAUCAUUCUCUAUCCUAGGUGGCACUCUAGAAUGCUUAUAUUUCUAAUUUUCUAAAUCCUUCAUAUUUCAUGCCUCUUAAAUCCAAAAAAUCCAAAAAAAAUAUAAACAAAAUAUAAUCAUAACCGUUACUUUUUAUACAUUUAAUAUCAAUAACUAUUUUCUUCAAAUUUAUCAUAGAAAGUCAAACGUUUAUAUAAUGCAAUACUUUUUAUACAUUUAAUAUCAAUAACUAUUUUCUUCAAAUUUAUCAUAGAAAGUCAAAUGUUUAUAUAAUGCAAUGUAAUUAAUGGUUGGAAUAAAAAGUAAACUACACCAUAUACUAUUUUCAAAAAUCUCUAUUCUCCUUCAUUCUCAUUUUUUCAUAAGUCAUAGUAUCUCUUAUCCACAUUAAUUUUUAAUCAAACUCCAUCAUGACUAAAGACUAUAUAAAUACUUGUGUAAUAUCUCAUCCUUUAUAUAUUUGCACCAUCAAUUUAAUUUGAUCAAUUAGUCAAAUUAGAUUAAAAUUUUGAUUAAAAAAACUAUUUAUUUGGCCAACUAAUUAAUUAAUUAGUCAAAUUGUCUUAUUGUAAAGAAGAUGUUUAGUUGGCCAAUAAAUAGUUAUAUUUAAAAUAGAUCAAAUAAUUAAGUUUUGUUAUUUAUUAUACAAUCAAAUCAACCAACUACAAUACGAAUUAAUUAUUAUUACUUUUUUUAGAUCUAAAUAUGUUACUUUGUUUAACUAGAUUAACCAAUAACCGGAUUGAAAAAUUCAAUUAUUUGAAGUAGGUUCGAGUGAAAUUUAGUUUGACUUAAAUGUGAAAACUCUAAAUGUUAGUUAUCUAAUUCAAUUUUAAAAGAAUGACAAGUUUACCACAGUACUAGCAUUGAGAAACCUGAAAAUUCUAAUUGUCUGUUAAACAUAAGAUGAUUUUCUACAUACUAAUAUUAAUAUAUAAAAUAAAUUAAAAUAUAGUAAAAUUUUUCUUAAUAUAUUUAAAACUAAUUUAUCUUAAUAUGCCUGCAUAAGUUUUUUAUUUAUUCAACGUUGCAAAAUUAUCUUUUGUAUUAAAUUAAUGACAAUAUAAAUUGACCAAUUGAUUUGUAAGCAUUUCCGCUAGGUAUAUAAUUUUUUAUAGCUCUAGACGAGAUGAGUCUCAAAAUUAACUUUUGAUCUUUCAAACUCUAGAUGAGAUAAUCUUAAAAAUUCAUAGGUGAUCUAUCAAACUUCAUACGAGAUGUACUUAUAAGUCGAUUUUGCUCCAAACAAUGUGAUGCUCAUAGGUUAGAAGUGGUUCGCGAAACUCCAAACGAGAUAAUACUUAUAGCUAAAUUUCGAUCAUUUAAGCUUCAAAUGAGAUACUCAGCUACGGUCUUCAAACUCCAAAUGAGUGAUGCUUAUAACUCAAUUCCGAUCUAUCAAACUAUAGACAAGAUGAUGGUUACAAGUCUGUUAUAGUUUUUCAAGCUCCACACGAGAUGAUGCUCACAAGUCAGGUUUUAUCUUUCAAGUUGAAGAUGAGAUGAUACUCAUAAGCCAAAUCUCAUAUAACAAGCUUCAGAUAAGAUAAUAAUUAUAAGUUCAACGUACAAAAGUCAAAUGCGAUAUUUCAAGUUACAGACAAGAUAAUGCUCAAAAGUUUUGUAAGGUUCGAAUGAGACGAUGUUCGUAUAUAAGAUGGUUUUCCUAUGUAACACCCCGACUUUUCCUUAAUAGAAUUUCACGAUAAAUUUUGAAAUUAGAACUAUUUUAGUUGAUUCUCUCCUGGAUAAUUUUUUUUUAGAAAACAUUUCUUUUUAGCAAAAAGAUUUUAUCAAAGUUUUAUAAUUUUAAUAUUAGAAUUUUAUACAAAUCGAAUCUUUCAUGCUUUGAUAUUUUUUUAGAAAAUCAAUAAUAUUUACAGCAGUGAACUUGAUUCAGAUUUUCAAAUUUGUUAUAUAUGCCUUGAGCCAAAUUCAGCUAUUGAGAUUCUAAAAAGAGAGUUAUUAUUACUGGGAUUUGAUCUUUGUUUUUGGAUCAAACUUUGGGAGAAAACCUUUUGAAGCCCAACAUUUUACAACAUUUUAUAAGCUGCAGAAUUUUUUUAGCGUGCAUCUUUUCCAUUCAAUAACUAAUUGAAUGGAAAUGGUUAUUCCACAUCCCCAAUUUUCAGCUAUAAGAUCCUCAGACCUUCCCAGCUUCUUCACCCAGUUCCAAAUUUAUUACUACUCACCCCAGAUUUUCUUCCGAUAAAUUUUACAACUUUCUUUCACAGAUUCGAUGCCACGAGCUGUGUAAACUUUGAGCAGAUUCAUAUCACACAAAGGUUUGCUUCCUUCUAUUCAAGAACACAAUAACAUAGCUAUCACCAAUUGUUUUCACAAAACAAAAUCAAUCAAGAUGUUCAUAUGCAUGUACUUUGCAUAAUCUGAAGCAUUUAUUUCAUAAACUGAAUCAAGUUUUCUUGAAGUGAAUAAAUGAGUAGAAAAAUGUUUUUAAAUUGGAAAAAAAGGGGAAUAAUUUGCUGUCGGAUGUGGGUGACUCGAGGCAAGUCGGGGACUGAGAGGCGGCUGCGGCUUGAUUGCUGCUGCUGCUGCUGCUCGAGAGUUGAGGGAGAAACCGGCGGCGGCGGAGGCUGUUGAUUGUUGUUGUCUGUCGGUCGGGAGGAGAGAAAAUGGGCAGGGCGGUGGUCCUUGUGGGCUGCUGUUCAGCCGGUCGAUGGAGGAGGAAGGCGGCUGAGCGGCGACGCCGCUGUUACCGCGGCUGUUGUCGCCGGCAAGGGAGAGGUGCCGGGCGUCCGUUGGAGAGGAAGAAGAACAAAAAUAAAAAAUAGAGAGAGACCGAUAGAUAAGAGAGAUAGAAGGGAGAUGGGCUUGUUGAAUUAUUGUUGGGUUUAAUUAAAUGAUGAGCAUGGGCUGCAUUUUGAUGUUGAGCUUGGCACUUGUUUAUUUAGUGAGAUGAAUUG
This 4042-nucleotide long non-coding RNA is filed under the name Salvia miltiorrhiza (redroot sage). RNAcentral's name for it is "long non-coding RNA (SMIL_LNC006104)". The record is from RNAcentral. Lineage: Eukaryota; Viridiplantae; Streptophyta; Magnoliopsida; Lamiales; Lamiaceae.